AGUUCAUUGUCCAAAGGGAAGUGGAAUGUGCGUCACUGUUCGCGUCAAUCGCUAGAAAACAUUGAAUGAUCGUUGGUAGAGUUCGAUCGUGAUCCUCGAAACUAUGCAAUUGCGAUGGGAAAUAGUAUCAAGGACGCGCAUAUAAUACUGUAACAAUGGAAUGUAUACAUAUGUAUAUGCGAGGAACGUCAUUUCCGGAGAGCGAACAAAAUCUCGACAUCAUUUUCCAAACGAUCAAACUUCCGCACAAAAAUUGUUUAAUUAGGUUUCCUUUCUUCAAAUGAAAACGUUGAUUUCUUUUAUCACAUAUCUUAUGUCAGCGAAAAUUAAAAUAAAAUGCUUGCUAAAGCGUCA
Osmia bicornis bicornis is the source of this 354-nucleotide long non-coding RNA. RefSeq lists it as uncharacterized. The transcript has 2 exons. Lineage: Eukaryota; Metazoa; Arthropoda; Insecta; Hymenoptera; Megachilidae. The record is from RefSeq and is a predicted model, not a curated record.